GCGCCAUGGCGCUGUCCUGGCUGCAGCGCGUCGAGCUUGCGCUCUUUGCUGCCGCCUUCCUGUGCGGGGCCGUGGCGGCCGCGGCGAUGACUCGGACCCAGAGGUGCUAUAGGGCUGCGCAUUGCACUGGCCAUCUCAGCUAUAGCCGUCUUCCUGGUCUUGGUGUCUGCCUGUAUCCUUCGAUUUGGCACCAGGUCUCUCUGCAACUCCAUCAUCUCCUUGAACACUACAAUUAGCUGUUCUGAAGCCCAGAAAAUUCCAUGGACACCCCCUGGAACUGCUCUGCAGUUUUACUCCAACCUACACAAUGCUGAAACCUCUUCUUGGGUGAAUUUGGUAUUGUGGUGUGUGGUCUUGGUGCUCCAGGUCGUGCAGUGGAAGUCUGAAGCCACCCCAUACCGGCCUCUGGAGAGGGGUGACCCUGAGUGGAGCUCUGAGACAGAUGCUCUCGUUGGGUCACGCCUUUCCCAUUCCUGAAGAAUAAGCGGAGUGCUUCCUGCAGCCGAAGACUCCAUGCCCAAGUGCCUGUAAUCCCCCCCC
This 540-nucleotide long non-coding RNA is filed under the name Homo sapiens (human). RNAcentral's name for it is "HSALNT0176288". Lineage: Eukaryota; Metazoa; Chordata; Mammalia; Primates; Hominidae. The record is from RNAcentral.